GGCAACGCCCUUUCAGCUCAGUGGUCGAGCGCUGGCUUUGGAAGCCACAGGUCGGUGGUUCAAAUCCACCCGGGCGCCG
Molecule: transfer RNA, 79 nt
Filed under: Phytophthora infestans (potato late blight agent)
Lineage: Eukaryota; Oomycota; Peronosporomycetes; Peronosporales; Peronosporaceae
Description: tRNA-Pro
Rfam family: tRNA (bases 15-70)
About the family: Transfer RNA (tRNA) molecules are approximately 80 nucleotides in length.
Source: RNAcentral